GACGAACGCUGGCGGCGUGCUUAACACAUGCAAGUCGAACGGAAAGGCCCUGCUUUUGUGGGGUGCUCGAGUGGCGAACGGGUGAGUAACACGUGAGUAACCUGCCCUUGACUUUGGGAUAACUUCAGGAAACUGGGGCUAAUACCGGAUAGGAGCUCCUGCUGCAUGGUGGGGGUUGGAAAGUUUCGGCGGUUGGGGAUGGACUCGCGGCUUAUCAGCUUGUUGGUGGGGUAGUGGCUUACCAAGGCUUUGACGGGUAGCCGGCCUGAGAGGGUGACCGGCGACAUUGGGACUGAGAUACGGCCCAGACGCGUACGGGAGGCAGUAGUGGGGAAUAUGGCGGAAUGGGGGGAAGCCUGAUGCAGCAGCGCCGCGAGCGGGAUAACGGCCUUCGGGUUGUAAACCGAUUUCGCAUGUAACGAAGCGUGAGUGACGGUAAUGGGUAAAGAAGCACCGGCUAACUACGUG
RNAcentral lists this ribosomal RNA (468 nucleotides) under uncultured bacterium. RNAcentral's name for it is "partial 16S ribosomal RNA". It matches the Rfam family "Bacterial small subunit ribosomal RNA", at positions 28 to 507 of the family's 1533-position model. The record is from RNAcentral.